This 492-nucleotide ribosomal RNA is filed under the name uncultured bacterium. RNAcentral's name for it is "partial 16S ribosomal RNA". It matches the Rfam family "Bacterial small subunit ribosomal RNA", at positions 29 to 507 of the family's 1533-position model. The record is from RNAcentral.
AGUGAACGCUGGCGGUAGGCCUAACACAUGCAAGUCGAACGGCAGCACAGUAAGAGCUUGCUCUUACGGGUGGCGAGUGGCGGACGGGUGAGGAAUACAUCGGAAUCUACUUUUUCGUGGGGGAUAACGUAGGGAAACUUACGCUAAUACCGCAUACGACCUACGGGUGAAAGCAUGGGAUCUUCGGACCUUGCGCGAUUGAAUGAGCCGAUGUCGGAUUAGCUAGUUGGCGGGGUAAAGGCCCACCAAGGCGACGAUCCGUAGCUGGUCUGAGAGGAUGAUCAGCCACACUGGAACUGAGACAGGGUCCAGACUCCUACGGGAGGCAGCAGUGGGGAAUAUUGGACAAUGGGCGCAAGCCUGAUCCAGCGAUACCGCGUGGGUGAAGAAGGCCUUCGGGUUGUAAAGCCCUUUUGUUGGGAAAGAAAAGCAGCAGGUUAAUACCACGCUGUUCUGACGGUAACCAAAGAAUAAGCACCGGCUAACUUCGUG